AGAUAUGUGAAUCAAUUUUGUUGAAGCGAAUAGUAACGCUGUUGAAUUUUGAACAGAGAUGUCAAUCCUGGCAUCAAAUGCAGUUGUGCGAACAGCUUUUCGGAGUACCUCUACUAACUGCUCAGAAGAAGAGGAACUGCAUUAUGUGCAUUCAGUUGUUGCAACCCGCUCAUCCGCAUGCUAUCACACUCAGACGCCAUUUGAUGUUAUCGUAAGAAAAACGGACAUGACUGCGGCGAUGUGCGACGAAACGCUUCGUUUGUUCUGCGAAGCGUUUGGCAAACAUUCUUCGUGCAACGAAUCCGUGUCACGCGUUGUUAAAGAGGCCUUAGAUAAAAAGUUCGGCUCUUCCUGGCAUGUCGUAAUAGGAGAGGACUUUGGGCUGGAAGUUUCCCACGAGAUGCAGCACGUACUUUAUGCCUUCUUCAGACAGGGAACCCUGGGAGCAUGUGCCUGGAAAUGUCCUUGAUAUCUUUGACCUUUACCAAUUGUGACCUUGACAUCAUUGACUUUCACUAGUUGUGACCUUGACCUCACAUUCACACGGUGCUUCAACUUAUCCAUCACAAUGCAAUCGACACAGCAAUGUUUCUAAAUGUUUAAUCAUCAAAGUCUAUCCACCUGGUGCGAUGUGCAAUCAUUUCUACUUACAAAACACAAUUUU
This is a long non-coding RNA of Symsagittifera roscoffensis, 664 nucleotides long. RefSeq lists it as uncharacterized. The record is from RefSeq and is a predicted model, not a curated record. Lineage: Eukaryota; Metazoa; Xenacoelomorpha; Acoela; Convolutidae. The transcript is spliced from 2 exons.